Molecule: long non-coding RNA, 3437 nt
Organism: Aegilops tauschii subsp. strangulata
Lineage: Eukaryota; Viridiplantae; Streptophyta; Magnoliopsida; Poales; Poaceae
Source: RefSeq, a predicted model, not a curated record
CCCGAUUUUCCGGAGUUCUCGCAGCCAACCAGAUCCGCGCCGCCGCCUCUGCUCCCGCUCCCGUCACCUCCUCGGCCUCUUCGUCCUGGCCGGCUGCGCCCCCUCUGCACGACGCCUCGCCGGACACCGAUCUCGCCCCGCAGGACUCAACUCCGCCGGUCUCGUCAUCCUCUCCAUCACCGCAGUCGUCCACGUCGAAGGCACGGACAUCGGAGGCGGUGAGGCGAGGGCUCGCGGCGAGGGAAGCACCUCGGAUCCACUCGAUCCCGCGCCUCCACCGACCGCAGCCACCUCCGUUCAAUCCACCCCUCCACGGUCCCCGCAAGAUCCCACGUCUUCACCGUCCGCCACUGCCCGACCCCUUACUCCCUCCGGCAAUGCACAGAGCUACAUGUCCUCCUUACUGCUUCCGGCUACCUCACAAUUUUAAUCUGGUCCAUGGGACAUGAAAAACUUAUUUCCGUUCAAUGGUGGCAGAGAGAUAUUCUUGUCCCGAACUCAGGAGCUGCUGGACAUUUCCACCGUAAUGGAGCGUAUCAGCAGAGGUGGACGACAGUAAUAGGAGAACUGGAACAAGCGCCGGAAGCAGCCGUGAACAUAGAUGCACAGUUCUGCGAGGAAGAAACCAGGGUGUACAAAGGAAGGGAGAUCUCACCCCAGGUCUCCAAGCUAUUGACUGGGAAGAUGAACCCCAGGCAACCGGGUUGGAUUGGUUUGCACAUAACCCGUAAAACUUACCGAUUUUAAUUCGCUUGGUAUAGGUCCUUAAUGAUUCAGUACGUUAUAUCGGUAUUGAGUGUACUAGCAGUCUACAGAUAGAUUUGCGUCUGUAUGCUGAGCUUGUUCUGAGGAUAAUAAUUUUUUGAUUGAAUCCAAUGCAAGGUAACUAAUAGAAAUACAGUUGUACUACUAAUGACAGUCUCGCUUUUGGGAAGUUUUUUGAUGGAUAUUUAGUCGUGGCAGCUAUUUCUACCGUGGAAUAACUGUAAUUUAGCUAUGUGACACCGAUGAAUUAUAUAAAGUUUAGAAAUGCAUGUAUGUCGAUUUAAUUUAAUGGACAUGAUCUUUUAGGUUGAUUUCAGCUGAGCAAUAGGAAACAUGGGUGCAGAGUAAGGAUUGCAUCGGCGGCACCAUGCCCUUCUCGGGCGACAUCUCUUGAGAAAGCGAUAAGGGCAUUCGCUAACGAUCCAAUACAUAAUGUGAUUGUACCAGUGCUGGGGACAAGUUCUGACUCUUUAUGAGAGAGGCGUGUGGUUUUUACAAUCUAAUCAUUUGGGAGAAAGGUUUUGGGAUCAGAUAUUGGAAAUGCAGGUCAAAUGUUGAGAGGACAAAAUGUAAUUAGGAAAUAGUGUGUCCAUAUGUGGGUAAAGCAGGUGUGUAGAACACACGAUCUUGCCGAUGUUAGUACCCUGCUCUAAUAAAUUGCUUAGAUCAGAGCACAGGGGUUAAGAAGUACAUGAGGCUGCAAUUUGACAGUGAGUCUGAGGAGAACUAUGUCGAGGAGAUGACAAGAAAUGGGAGUCCGCUAAUGAGAGCUAACCUGGCCACUGAAUGGCAUGCGAUCAAAACAUACACAAGCGCUAUGUUUGAUGAAAAUUAGAUCUUGUAUGAGUGUGGACUGUGGAGCAUACCAAAGUUGAAGAGAUUGAGAAACACAAGUCAUGUCCUGGAGGUGCUGGACUUCAUGCGUGUGAAGCGAUGCUCACAACAUAGGAACCAUUGGCAUAUAAUCUGUUCUCCUACAUGCACUUCAGAAUGUGCAUAGAGCUUGUUCGGCUUGGGGACAUAAAUUUUGAUGCGUACGAUUGUCUGGUUUAUUUGUUGAAGGCAAAUUUGGUGGACAUGAAACCUUUUGCCGAGGUGAGAGAUGGGCUUGGUUUGGAAGACCGGCUUGCUGAAAAUGGAGUAGUUGUCAAGCUGUUGAAAAUACAUACUAUGUGUAGAUCGCAAAACUCAAGAGCAUCCAGCAAAUGCUGGUAGUGGUGACAAUGUUUCAGUAAUAUACCAGGAAGCAGGUUAGCAUAACUAUCAGUGCCAGGCUACCAGCUACAAGGAAAGAGAUUGACUGGCCAAUGACCAGCAGGGAGAAAGCCCCUUAGGAAGGAUUGAGUAAGAGGACCAAUUUCUGCAGCAUUUUCUGCCGCCAUGGUCACAAAAGGACUACAUGGACAGACAGAGGUGAUGCUCCGAAACAUCUUGCAAACUGGGCAGGUGCAAUAGCUAUGGCGUCGAGGGACAGAAAAGGAACAAUUUUACCAAGCCCAUAGAAUUUAGAUUGCCAACGGAAACUAAAAUGAGUGCAAAUUAUGAGACCCUUUUUUGGUUAGUAGUUAGUGUUACUUUCUCAAUACUCGAGUCAAGAUUCUUCCUAAUGGUCACCAUGGGAUCGACAGAACUCUUUAGGUGGCGGAGAAGUUUGAUAUGAGCCUCUAAGGUACUCUCCGACCUAGCUGAAAAUGAUGUUCUUUUAGAGGGUAUCCUGGCGGAUUGAAGAUUCUGAAGUUAUUGGGUUUUUGCUUCCAACUGAAAUGAUUCCUUUAUAUCUGAGUACUAUGGAGAUGGGCUGUGAACUUACCAGAACAAGGAAGGGGAUGCCCGAGACUGAGACGAUGACGGUGGUCGCGACACACAGCUGCAGGAGUGGACAACAGAGACAAACACUCCCUUGGAUUCGUCGUGAUUCUGGAAUGGGAGGCAGGUCACUGCCGCUACCGCCCAUGAAGCUGACGAUGAUCACGUGGCCGUCAUGCAGCGGCGAGGUGGCGGUUGUGGAGGGGAAGGGGGAGGUGAGGGGAGACGCGCGGGCGAAAACCCACACGGCGGAGGAAGGGGAUGCCUCAGGUGGCGACGGUCAUGACGGUCACUAUAUUGUGAUAUGUUAUUUGCAUAUAAAUGAUUCAGGGGACCCCGGUUUGUCGUUUAGAUUUCUCCAAUUGUUCGAAGAUGGGGCCCAUCUCUUUCUAAACUGCAAAGAAGUGAAGGAGCAAUGGUAUGCCUUGCUGCUGGAGGAAAUCCGGAUUAGAGUGUAAUUCAGCGCAUGACGUCAUGAGAAAAAUUCUGAGGUUGCGGAGAAGGAUAAGUUGCUCACUAUUUGAGUGUGGGCCGAGCAAUUUUUGGAACGGACUGUCUGAUACUCAAGCAGGCUGUGAGCUUUGAAGCGUAUGGUCAAGUGCCGCUGGGUAUUUUCUUAUGUGAUAUCAAGUACCCACUACUAUAAGCUACGUACUUUAUUCAUUGAUUGAGGCUAGAGUGAUUCAUGCUCCAAGGGGAUGUAACCAGCCAUCUAAUGUGCUGGCAGCUUUGGGUGCAGGGUUAGACAAUGGUGAUCAUGUUGAAUGGUUCUCAGACUACUUUGAGGUUGUAGCCCAUGUUGUAACCGGCGAUUUAGCCAUGUACUCCCUCCAUUUCUAAAUAUAAGUCUUUUUAAAGGUUUCAAA